CGCACAUUGCGCCCGCCAGUAUUCUGGCGGGCAUGCCUGUCCGAGCGUCAUUUCAACCCUCGAGCCCCCCGGGCUCGGUGUUGGGGACCGGCCGCGCGCCGCCCCCGAAAUGCAGUGGCGACCUCGCCGCAGCCUCCCCUGCGUAGUAGCACAACCUCGCACCGGAGCGCGGAGACGGUCACGCCGUAAAACGCCCAACUUUUCACAGAGUUGACCUCGGAUCAGGUAGGAAUACCCGCUGAACUUAA
This 248-nucleotide unclassified non-coding RNA is filed under the name Hypocreales sp. RNAcentral's name for it is "partial contains 5.8S ribosomal RNA, internal transcribed spacer 2, and large subunit ribosomal RNA". Lineage: Eukaryota; Fungi; Ascomycota; Sordariomycetes; Hypocreales. The record is from RNAcentral.